GGCAAAUAGAUAUACAGAUAGAAAGAUUACUAAAGUAGAGUCACAGAAAGACAUACGUAGACAGACAGAGAGGCACAUAUAUAGAUAGAAGCUUACAAGAGCAGAUAAAACAGAGAUUGAGAGAUGCUACCAAUACCUGGAGCUGUACGCUAAGCAAUUACUUCCCUUUCUUAUUUGUAAUGCAUCCAAUGCUGUGUGCGCCAUGCUUAGAAUCCCUUUUGAAAAAGCACCAGCUUUUGAUAAUGUGUAUAUGAGUAGCUGCACAAAAUAUAUAGCUGCUAGAAGUUCCAUUGCUGAGGCAUAGAUCUCUAAGCCAUUGAGAUGGUGCGAGAACCAUGAAUAUAGGUGAAGCUCUGUUAGGGCCUCAGUUAUAACUGGGGAGAAAAAGAAUGUUCAAACAGUUACAGCAGCAGUUACGGCUAUGACAUCACAACAUAACAUCACCUAUUAUGAUG
Pelobates cultripes (western spadefoot toad) is the source of this 455-nucleotide non-coding RNA. The record is from the annotation of a GenBank genome assembly. NCBI's taxonomy places the organism in Eukaryota, Metazoa, Chordata, Amphibia, Anura, Pelobatidae.